AAUCAGGGCCCAAUCAGCUGACUGUCAGCUGGGACGGGCUGGCUUAACCCUUCCUGCGCCGCUGCCUACCCGGGAGGGAACGAGGCCCGGCGCAAAGUUUGGUAUUUUAAAGCGAUAGGCAAGUCGAAGAAGCAGAGAUUUAUUUGGAGAGAAAGCUCCUGAAACCGACCCAGCCUUUGGAAGACCAGCCCGUCUGCUUAGAAGUUGGGACUGUUGAUUCCUUCAAUUAAUGAAAUGCAUUUGGUGUUUUUAAUCGUAUUUAUUUUACUUUAUGAGAAGGGGGAGACGCUAGGAGGGUGCAUUAAAAAAAAAAAAAAAUUCUGAAAAGCCUGCAAAAGGAUCGAAGAGUGGAAACUAUUGUUGGAGCGAGUUGGUUUUUACCUCAACAGCGCCACCUUUCGGCAAAGGUUUCUUUCCAAGGGUAUCAUUUAGAUGGGGGCGUGUGUGUAGGGUGGGGUAGGGGGCAAAGUGAAGAAGGCCCUAGGCUUUCCGUACACUGUUUGGAUUGGAUGAUCUUGACGUGAAAUGUGAAUUCUGGAAAAACCUGUAAUUAGUGAUCUCUGCCUUUGUAGAGAACCAUGAUAACAAGUAAAUUAGCACUGGAAGAAUUUGGGGGUUUAUCAUAUUUUUGUUUCAAUUAUUUGCUUAUUUGUUUUUGUCUCUGCAGGUUUCUUCCUUGGAAAACAAUAUACAUCACUUAAUGAAAUCUUUGUUUGUUUUGCACAAGAGAUGUAAAAAAUCCAGAUGUUUUCUUCAGUGAGAAUUCCUGGGAAGGUGUACCAGCCUUCUUCUCUUUCUUCACCUGACAAAGACACCCAACACGGCCUCUCAGACCGGAGGUGUUUAAUAUAUAGUUUUGACACGCAUGAACAUGGGAAUGAAAGGGCUCCUUUUGGUUUUAGACAAUAGACAGAGCUAUAAAAUGAUGAUGGAGCCUGUUUUCCCCACUCUUGUCAUUUUAAGUCAAUAGAUUUCCUGGGUUUCUUCCCCCGCCCCCCCACUUUGCCUUUUCAGGGGAUAGGCAUCUCCUUAGAUUUUUGUUUUUCUUCACUUAGGGUCAGCUUUAUGAUUCGUUCUUCUGCUGUCAUCCUUUUUCAUCCUAUUCACAGCCUGUACCGGUGAGGGAAUUUGUCUCAAAAGCAUUCAGCCCUUCAAAGAUUUUUAUUGUGGUGAACUCAGAACUGAUAAACAGAAAAACAGAAACAGAAAAAGGGAACUGAUAUGGGGGCGAUCUUGAUGCGGGUUGUGUCUCUCAUGCAUGAUAACUCAGAGGACAGGCUCCUCGGUAGUGCGGUAGUGCUAACUCUGUGAAGUUUCUUCACCCUCCUUCCUAGCCCUGGAGGCGGGGUGAUUCAUAGCUCCUGUUCCAAAGGCAUUCAGCAGCCAUUCGACCUGGGAAAGAAACAGAGUUUUAGAAAAUACAGGCCAAAUGUAGAGACGCCUGUGAUUACCAGGAUGAGUAUGUCAGUGCAGGUGGCUUCUGAAUUUCUGUUUCUGAGUUUGUUUGGCUGAUGCCUAAGGAAAGGGGUCCCUUACAGCCCUGUUUUAUACCUUAGUUCUUGGUGGCAACGUGGGUGUUGCUGAUCUCUCUGAUGUGUUUUUCUGUGCACUGAAAACACCAGACAUGCUCCGUGACAUCCUCGGAGCAUCUCCCAUCAUAAUGGAGUGUUCCUAACCUGACAAAGAAUAGCAUAUUACCUCCCCAUCUACUCAAAAUAAAAUUAUAGUAAAAUUUAUCGCCCUU
RNAcentral lists this long non-coding RNA (1744 nucleotides) under Homo sapiens (human). RNAcentral describes it as "non-protein coding lnc-WWOX-4:7". The record is from RNAcentral. Lineage: Eukaryota; Metazoa; Chordata; Mammalia; Primates; Hominidae.